RNAcentral lists this ribosomal RNA (403 nucleotides) under uncultured bacterium. Its description in RNAcentral is "partial 16S ribosomal RNA". It matches the Rfam family "Bacterial small subunit ribosomal RNA", at positions 28 to 526 of the family's 1533-position model. The record is from RNAcentral.
GACGAACGCUGGCGGCGUGCCUAAUACAUGCAAGUCGAACGCAGUGGGGACGGGUGAGUAACACGUGGGUAACCUCCCAUCAGAGGGGAUAACACUUGGAAACAGGUGCUAAACCGAUACUGAUGGAUGGACCCGCGGUGCAUUAGCUAGUUGGUGAGGUAACGGCUCACCAAGGCCACGAUCCAUAGCUGGUCUGAGAGGAUGACCAGCCACACGGGAACUGAGACACGGUCCAGACUCCUACGGGAGGCAGCAGUGGGGAAGAUUGCACAAUGGGCGCAAGCCUGAUACAGCCAUGCCGCGUGUAUGAAGAAGGCUUUCGGAUUGUAAAGUUCUUUCGGCGAGGAGGCGUUACUCGCAGAAGAAGCACCGGCUAACUCCGUGCCAGCAGCCGCGGUAAUAC